AGGAACUUUCCAACAAUAUUCCCGUUGGAUUACUUUGAUUAGGUGGAAAAUAUAUCAAUUCAAAUAGCAUUGCAAUGAAACCAUUAGAAUAAUAUACAGUAUAUAUUUUUUAAUUAGAUCAACAAUAAUAACAUUUGAAAUUGCAAGAAGAACUAAUUAUACUUUAUAACCUAACUUUUGGGCUUAAAUAUAAAAAUCGAAUGAUUUCCCCCUCCCCCCAAAAAAAAGAAAAAAAAACUUUAGCUUUUCAAAAAAA
Molecule: long non-coding RNA, 256 nt
Filed under: Salvia miltiorrhiza (redroot sage)
Lineage: Eukaryota; Viridiplantae; Streptophyta; Magnoliopsida; Lamiales; Lamiaceae
Description: long non-coding RNA (SMIL_LNC012788)
Source: RNAcentral